ACAUGCAAGUCGAACGGUGAAAGCGGAGCUUGCUCUGCUGGAUCAGUGGCGAACGGGUGAGUAACACGUGAGCAAUCUGCCCCUGACUCUGGGAUAAGCGCUGGAAACGGCGUCUAAUACUGGAUACGAGCUGCGAAGGCAUCUUCAGCAGCUGGAAAGAACUUCGGUCAGGGAUGAGCUCGCGGCCUAUCAGCUUGUUGGUGAGGUAACGGCUCACCAAGGCGUCGACGGGUAGCCGGCCUGAGAGGGUGACCGGCCACACUGGGACUGAGACACGGCCCAGACUCCUACGGGAGGCAGCAGUGGGGAAUAUUGCACAAUGGGCGCAAGCCUGAUGCAGCAACGCCGCGUGAGGGACGACGGCCUUCGGGUUGUAAACCUCUUUUAGCAGGGAAGAAGCGAAAGUGACGGUACCUGCAGAAAAAGCGCCGGCUAACUACGUGCCAGCAGCCGCGGUAAUACGUAGGGCGCAAGCGUUAUCCGGAAUUAUUGGGCGUAAAGAGCUCGUAGGCGGUUUGUCGCGUCUGCUGUGAAAACCCGAGGCUCAACCUCGGGCCUGCAGUGGGUACGGGCAGACUAGAGUGCGGUAGGGGAGAUUGGAAUUCCUGGUGUAGCGGUGGAAUGCGCAGAUAUCAGGAGGAACACCGAUGGCGAAGGCAGAUCUCUGGGCCGUAACUGACGCUGAGGAGCGAAAGGGUGGGGAGCAAACAGGCUUAGAUACCCUGGUAGUCCACCCCGUAAACGUUGGGAACUAGUUG
This 758-nucleotide ribosomal RNA is filed under the name Microbacterium sp. Its description in RNAcentral is "bacterial SSU rRNA". It matches the Rfam family "Bacterial small subunit ribosomal RNA", at positions 53 to 822 of the family's 1533-position model. Lineage: Bacteria; Bacillati; Actinomycetota; Actinomycetes; Micrococcales; Microbacteriaceae. The record is from RNAcentral.